RNAcentral lists this ribosomal RNA (252 nucleotides) under uncultured bacterium. RNAcentral describes it as "partial 16S ribosomal RNA". It matches the Rfam family "Bacterial small subunit ribosomal RNA", at positions 524 to 776 of the family's 1533-position model. The record is from RNAcentral.
UACAGAGGGGGCAAGCGUUAUUCGGAAUUAUUGGGCGUAAAGGCGCGUAGGCGGCCAUUCAAGUGACGGGUGAAAGCCCUCGGCUUAACCGAGGAACUGCCUGUCAGACUGGAUGGCUUGAGACCGGGAGAGGUGAGUGGAAUUCCCAGUGUAGCGGUGAAAUGCGUAGAUAUCGGGAGGAACACCAGUGGCGAAGGCGACUUCCUGGCCUGUUCUUGACGCUGAGGCGCGAAAGCUAGGGGAGCAAACGGG